ACCCGACUCCGUGAAGCUGGAUUCGCUAGUAAUCGCGCAUCAGCCAUGGCGCGGUGAAUACGUUCCCGGGCCUUGUACACACCGCCCGUCAAGCCAUGGAAGCUGGGGGUGCCUGAAGUUCGUGACCGGAAGGAGCGACCUAGGGCAAAACCGGUGACUGGGGCUAAGUCGUAACAAGGUAAC
RNAcentral lists this ribosomal RNA (183 nucleotides) under uncultured bacterium. Its description in RNAcentral is "partial 16S ribosomal RNA". It matches the Rfam family "Bacterial small subunit ribosomal RNA", at positions 1310 to 1500 of the family's 1533-position model. The record is from RNAcentral.